Molecule: ribosomal RNA, 2920 nt
Filed under: Klebsiella pneumoniae subsp. pneumoniae
Lineage: Bacteria; Pseudomonadati; Pseudomonadota; Gammaproteobacteria; Enterobacterales; Enterobacteriaceae
Description: bacterial LSU rRNA
Rfam family: Bacterial large subunit ribosomal RNA
Source: RNAcentral
GGGUUGUGAGGUUAAGCGACUAAGCGUACACGGUGGAUGCCCUGGCAGUCAGAGGCGAUGAAGGACGUGCUAAUCUGCGAAAAGCGUCGGUAAGGUGAUAUGAACCGUUAUAACCGGCGAUGUCCGAAUGGGGAAACCCAGUGCAAUUCGUUGCACUAUCGUUAACUGAAUACAUAGGUUAACGAGGCGAACCGGGGGAACUGAAACAUCUAAGUACCCCGAGGAAAAGAAAUCAACCGAGAUUCCCCCAGUAGCGGCGAGCGAACGGGGAGCAGCCCAGAGUCUGAAUCAGCUUGUGUGUUAGUGGAACGGUCUGGAAAGUCCGACGGUACAGGGUGAUAGUCCCGUACACCAAAAUGCACAGGUUGUGAACUCGAAGAGUAGGGCGGGACACGUGGUAUCCUGUCUGAAUAUGGGGGGACCAUCCUCCAAGGCUAAAUACUCCUGACUGACCGAUAGUGAACCAGUACCGUGAGGGAAAGGCGAAAAGAACCCCGGCGAGGGGAGUGAAAAAGAACCUGAAACCGUGUACGUACAAGCAGUGGGAGCACCUUCGGGUGUGACUGCGUACCUUUUGUAUAAUGGGUCAGCGACUUAUAUUCUGUAGCAAGGUUAACCGUAUAGGGGAGCCGCAGGGAAACCGAGUCUUAACUGGGCGUUAAGUUGCAGGGUAUAGACCCGAAACCCGGUGAUCUAGCCAUGGGCAGGUUGAAGGUUGGGUAACACUAACUGGAGGACCGAACCGACUAAUGUUGAAAAAUUAGCGGAUGACUUGUGGCUGGGGGUGAAAGGCCAAUCAAACCGGGAGAUAGCUGGUUCUCCCCGAAAGCUAUUUAGGUAGCGCCUCGUGAAUUCAUCUUCGGGGGUAGAGCACUGUUUCGGCUAGGGGGUCAUCCCGACUUACCAACCCGAUGCAAACUACGAAUACCGAAGAAUGUUAUCACGGGAGACACACGGCGGGUGCUAACGUCCGUCGUGAAGAGGGAAACAACCCAGACCGCCAGCUAAGGUCCCAAAGUCAUGGUUAAGUGGGAAACGAUGUGGGAAGGCACAGACAGCCAGGAUGUUGGCUUAGAAGCAGCCAUCAUUUAAAGAAAGCGUAAUAGCUCACUGGUCGAGUCGGCCUGCGCGGAAGAUGUAACGGGGCUAAACCAUGCACCGAAGCUGCGGCAGCGACACUAUGUGUUGUUGGGUAGGGGAGCGUUCUGUAAGCCUGCGAAGGUGUGCUGUGAGGCAUGCUGGAGGUAUCAGAAGUGCGAAUGCUGACAUAAGUAACGAUAAAGCGGGUGAAAAGCCCGCUCGCCGGAAGACCAAGGGUUCCUGUCCAACGUUAAUCGGGGCAGGGUGAGUCGACCCCUAAGGCGAGGCCGAAAGGCGUAGUCGAUGGGAAACAGGUUAAUAUUCCUGUACUUGGUGUUACUGCGAAGGGGGGACGGAGAAGGCUAUGUUAGCCGGGCGACGGUUGUCCCGGUUUAAGCAUGUAGGCUUGUCCAGGCAAAUCCGGAUAAUCAAGGCUGAGGUGUGAUGACGAGGCACUACGGUGCUGAAGUAACAAAUGCCCUGCUUCCAGGAAAAGCCUCUAAGCAUCAGGUAACAUCAAAUCGUACCCCAAACCGACACAGGUGGUCAGGUAGAGAAUACCAAGGCGCUUGAGAGAACUCGGGUGAAGGAACUAGGCAAAAUGGUGCCGUAACUUCGGGAGAAGGCACGCUGGUGUGUAGGUGAAGUCCCUGCGGAUGGAGCUGAGACCAGUCGAAGAUACCAGCUGGCUGCAACUGUUUAUUAAAAACACAGCACUGUGCAAACACGAAAGUGGACGUAUACGGUGUGACGCCUGCCCGGUGCCGGAAGGUUAAUUGAUGGGGUUAUCCGUAAGGAGAAGCUCUUGAUCGAAGCCCCGGUAAACGGCGGCCGUAACUAUAACGGUCCUAAGGUAGCGAAAUUCCUUGUCGGGUAAGUUCCGACCUGCACGAAUGGCGUAAUGAUGGCCAGGCUGUCUCCACCCGAGACUCAGUGAAAUUGAACUCGCUGUGAAGAUGCAGUGUACCCGCGGCAAGACGGAAAGACCCCGUGAACCUUUACUAUAGCUUGACACUGAACAUUGAGCCUUGAUGUGUAGGAUAGGUGGGAGGCUUUGAAGCGUGGACGCCAGUCUGCGUGGAGCCAACCUUGAAAUACCACCCUUUAAUGUUUGAUGUUCUAACGUUGGCCCCUGACCGGGGUUGCGGACAGUGUCUGGUGGGUAGUUUGACUGGGGCGGUCUCCUCCCAAAGCGUAACGGAGGAGCACGAAGGUUAGCUAAUCCUGGUCGGACAUCAGGAGGUUAGUGCAAUGGCAUAAGCUAGCUUGACUGCGAGCGUGACGGCGCGAGCAGGUGCGAAAGCAGGUCAUAGUGAUCCGGUGGUUCUGAAUGGAAGGGCCAUCGCUCAACGGAUAAAAGGUACUCCGGGGAUAACAGGCUGAUACCGCCCAAGAGUUCAUAUCGACGGCGGUGUUUGGCACCUCGAUGUCGGCUCAUCACAUCCUGGGGCUGAAGUAGGUCCCAAGGGUAUGGCUGUUCGCCAUUUAAAGUGGUACGCGAGCUGGGUUUAGAACGUCGUGAGACAGUUCGGUCCCUAUCUGCCGUGGGCGCUGGAGAAUUGAGGGGGGCUGCUCCUAGUACGAGAGGACCGGAGUGGACGCAUCACUGGUGUUCGGGUUGUCAUGCCAAUGGCACUGCCCGGUAGCUAAAUGCGGAAGAGAUAAGUGCUGAAAGCAUCUAAGCACGAAACUUGCCCCGAGAUGAGUUCUCCCUGAGACUUUAAGUCUCCUGAAGGAACGUUAAAGACGAUGACGUUGAUAGGCCGGGUGUGUAAGCGCAGCGAUGCGUUGAGCUAACCGGUACUAAUGAACCGUGAGGCUUAACCUUACAACGCCGAAG